CAGUUCCCAGUUAAUCUACUUCUUUCUCAGUCUCCAGAACUUCUAAACUUUCUGCACAGAUAUGUCUUGGGAUCUACAGAAAGUCCUCCAGGAGAUCUGGAAACAAGAAGGAAGAAAACGGUGGUGUCGAGGAUCUUCAUAGGAAAAAAAGAAGGAGGCUUCUCUGACAAGUGGGGAUAUAAAUUAUCUGAACGUGCUGAUCUAAGAAAGUCGAGCUUUAAGAACUUGUAGAAAUCCUCAGCUGAAGUUAAUCACUUUGUCCUUUUCUGCACAAGAGCUGAAAAAUCUGCCAAUUCCAUUCAGUGAGGA
Molecule: long non-coding RNA, 309 nt
Organism: Columba livia (rock pigeon)
Lineage: Eukaryota; Metazoa; Chordata; Aves; Columbiformes; Columbidae
Exons: 3
Source: RefSeq, a predicted model, not a curated record